UACGGAGGGUGCAAGCGUUGUCCGGAUUUAUUGGGUUUAAAGGGUGCGUAGGCGGUGCGUUAAGUCAGUGGUGAAAUCUCUCGGCUCAACCGAGAAACUGCCAUUGAUACUGGCGCACUUGAGUACGGACGAGGUAGGCGGAAUUUAUGGUGUAGCGGUGAAAUGCAUAGAUACCAUAAAGAACACCAAUAGCGAAGGCAGCUUACUAGACCGUAACUGACGCUCAGGCACGAAAGCGUGGGGAGCGAACAGG
This 253-nucleotide non-coding RNA is filed under the name uncultured bacterium. Its description in RNAcentral is "partial 16S ribosomal RNA". It matches the Rfam family "Bacterial small subunit ribosomal RNA", at positions 524 to 776 of the family's 1533-position model. The record is from RNAcentral. RNAcentral also lists the same sequence under 1 other name.